Molecule: RNA transcript, 3923 nt
Organism: Prunus dulcis (almond)
Lineage: Eukaryota; Viridiplantae; Streptophyta; Magnoliopsida; Rosales; Rosaceae
Gene name: E3 SUMO-protein ligase SIZ1-like
Exons: 19
Source: RefSeq, a predicted model, not a curated record
UAUAUAAUCCAUUUAAUUAGAAUGAACGAAGCAGGUCAAUCACAGCCGCCACGAGCACGUUCUACGGCCCAGACUCCAUAGCUGCUGAGCAAACAAACAAGUAGACAUAUUGCAACCUCAGCGAUCAUCGUUUCUAACAUAUUCAACACCCAACCUCGACUUCAAUAUCAACCGAUUGUUUUCUCAUCGUACCUACAACUCUCACGUGUCCAAUCAGACACCGCCAACGAAACCAGUAAGACCCGCACCGACUCACGCCAUCACAACCCGGAUUUGUACGCCGGGUUCAAAGCCGAUUUCAUAUAUCCCCUUCACGUCCGUCACGAAACGGUCCACCAAGGCUGAGUCUUCAGCUGAAAGCAACUCCGCUUGGCACAGUGUUGGGCUCAGUUUGUUGAAAUUUGCGAAUUUAAUUGGCUCAAUAAUUGUUAUUUGGUGCUCUGGGGCAAAAGGAAAUGGAUUUGGUAGCUCACUGUAAGGGAAAGUUGGCAUCUUUUCGAAUCAAAGAGCUCAAGGAUGUUCUGACACAGCUGGGUCUUCCAAAGCAAGGGAGGAAACAGGAUCUGGUCGAGAGAAUCUUAGCAUUAGUUUCAGGUGAAGAAACAUCCAAUACACGGCAUUUGCCAAAGGAAAAAUUCAUUGAGAAGAAAGAAGUAGCAGAAAUAAUUAAUGAAGCUUACAGAAAAAUGCAGAUUGUACCGUCAACUGAUUCUGCUUCAAAAGAACAGAGUGGUUCAGAUACCUGCAGUGUGAAGCCUAAAAAGGAAGUUAAGAAUUUUAGUGAUACAAAUGCGAAGAUUUGCUGCCCCUGUGGAAGUUCUUUGUCUACUGAGGCAAUGAUACAGUGUGUGGACCCAAGGUGUCAAGUGCAGCAACAUAUUCGCUGUGUUAUUAUUCCAGAGAAAACAACGGAUUGCAAUCUACCAGUCCGGCCUCUCUUCUACUGUGAAAUGUGUCGUCUCAAACGUGCAGAUCCUUUUUGGGUGAAUGAGGUAGAUCUACUAUCUCCGGUGAAAUUAGUGGCUUCAAAUAUUCCAAUUGAUGGUGCAAAUCCUACUCAGAAUGUGGAGAAGACAUUUCAACUUUCCAGAGCCAAUAAAGAUCUUCUUCAGGAUAAUGAAUAUGAUGUUCAGGCUUGGUGUAUGCUUCUCAAUGAUAGUGUUCCAUUUAGGAUGCAAUGGCCACAGUUUGCAGAUUUACAGGUCAACGGUAUGAGUGUUAGGACAGUUAAUAGACCGGAACAUCAAUUGUUAGGUGCUAAUGGUCGUGAUGAUGGAGCAUUAAUCACAUUAUGCCUUGGGUAUGGAAUCAAUAAGAUUUCAUUAUCAGGGUGUGAUAAGCGUGCUUUCUGUUUCGGUGUCAGACUUGUAAAGCGACGUACAGUUCAGCAGGUUCUCAACUUGAUUCCUAAAGAAGAAGAUGGGGAGCUUUUUGAAGAUGCACUUGCGCGAGUUUGUCGUUGCAUUGGUGGUGGGCCUGCUAAGGCACCCGAAGAUAGUGACAGUGAUUUGGAAGUGAUUUCAGACUCAGUGUCAGUAAAUCUCCGAUGCCCUAUGAGUGGCUGUCGAAUGAAGGUAGCUGGCAGAUUCAAACCUUGCGUCCACAUGGGUUGCUUUGAUCUUGAAACUUUUGUGGAGCUAAACCAACGCUCUAGGAAGUGGCAAUGCCCUGUAUGCCUCAAGAACUACUCCUUGGAGGACAUCAUCAUUGACCGCUACUUCAAUCGCAUUACAAUGAUGAUGCUAAAGUGUGGGGAAGACAUAACAGAGAUCAAUGUGAAGCCAGAUGGUUCUUGGAGUGCAAAGACCAAAGGUGAGUUUAGUGAUCUUGCGCAAUGGCAUUUGCCUGAUGGAUCUUUAUGUGCUGGUAUGAAUUUGGAAACCUCAAGGCAGUUCAAGCUGGAAUCUUGUACAAACGAACAUAGUGGAUUUAUGCAUAAUCCUUGUGGGGUUACGGAAGUUAGUGGACAUCAGCAUGGCCCACUAGAGGAAGAGUUUGAGGUUUGCAGUCAAAAUGUGAUAACAAUGAGCAGCAGUGCCACAGGAAGUGGUAGAGAUGAUGAAGGUAUGAACCAGAACUGCAAUGUCUCCGCCAACGAUGACAACGAAAUCAACUCAGCUUCUCGUAAUUUUGACCCAACAUUUGCAAUUAUGAGCGGUGGUUCUGCUCAGGCUGGGAAUGCUGAUAUCAUUAUUCUUAGUGACUCUGAAGAAGAAGAUGUCCACUUGGUUUCUCCUGGAACUGUCUACAAUACUUUGCCAGUAGGUGGCAGUGGGUGUUCUCUGUCUGUACCUCCUGGCUUUUCAGGCUCAUAUGCACAAGAUCCAGCUCUGAAAGUGUGUGCAAGCUCUUCUUUGGGUCUCUUUAAUGAAAAUGGAAAUGAUAUUGGGAUGUCUCAGUAUCCAUAUCCUUCAGGCACUGAAGCAGAUCCUGGGUUCCAGUUAUUUGGUACAGAUUCAGAUAUUUCAGAUGCUUUCAUUGAUUUGGAGCAGACAGAAGUUGCCCGUUCAGCUCCAACAAAUGGUAACACAUUGGUCUUGGAGGAAAUUCUAAAUCCAAGCAGACAGGUUUUAAACUCGUCUGGUUCCCAUGCCAAUGCUCACUUGGAUAACAGCUUGGUUGAUGAUCCUUUGGCCUUUGUUAGUGAGGACGGCUCACUACAAAAUUUUCUUCCAACUCAGCCCUCUGGUUUGUUGGAGCAAUCUGAUUCUGGACAACAUCCUCCAGAUUCAAAUGGAAUUAAUACUGAGGAUUGGAUGUCUCUUAGACUUGGUAGUAUCGGUGAAAUUGUCCCCAAUGAUAUUGAGGCCUGCACUGAAUCUGCAAGGACAAAUGAACUACGUUUGAGAAACCAAUGUGGAUCAGAUAAAGUUGCUUUAGUUAAGGGUCUAAAUAAUGGAGCUCGGUCAAAAAGAGAAAAUUCAAGGAAAUUUUCUGAUGGACCUUUCUCCUUUCCUCGUCAGCCAAGGUCUGUAAGACAACGAGUGUGUCUAUCGAUAGAGUCCAACUCUGAAUAGAAAAGGAGAAGCAAACAUCUUCAUUUUUGUAAAUUCAAGGUUUCAGCCAUGUGCAAAGCCGAUUGACCGCAAUGUUAGUUGUUAUAACCUCUCAUCUCACUAAUCUUAUUGGCAGCUCUUGAACCACUUUAUUUUGUGGUAACUGUAUUUUCUUUUCUACUUGGCGAUAUUGUUGAAGGUGCAGGUUCGACUUGCUCCUCCUGUAAUGAUUUUGCACUGAAAAUACCAUUUUAUACAACACAAUCAAUCUCUAUCCACCAAUAAUUAACAAUUGGGCAUAGUGCAAGCUUCACCCCUGUAACUUAUUCAACGGUGCUCUUUAUGUGCCACCAUGACCAACAAAGUGUAAAACAUUUAGAUGUUUUAGCAUGCAAACGAUGUAUAUGUAAAGAGAAAGUUUUGAUCUGUAGGGUUGUCAGUUGUGGAAUGCAUUCUUACUAACUCAUAAUAUUUUAUGCUUUAUGAGAGUAGUAGUGAGGGAUGACUUCAAUGGGGAAGCAUUGUGCUGGUUAAGUCGUAGGUCUUGUAGUUAUAGUUAUGAUUGCGAAAUUCCGCCUAUGCGUAUUUGAUUCUGCAGUAGAUACACGCCUAACCUUUUUCCGCUGCAGCAACUUUAGAGUUUAGAAAGAAACGGGAAGAAGAGAUGGAUGCCACCAAGAGGGGGAAGUAUGCUAGAAUGCCCAUGGUUAAUGCAAGUGUUAACUGUUUAAAAAAGAGAAUUCUCUCUACUCUCCAUGUUUAUGCAAUAUGGCAGUUCUAAUUUUACUGUGUAGCUAUAUUGUGAGUUUGAAUUUGUAAAUUUGUAUUAUGAGCAGAGUGAAUACAGGGACAUCUUUGAAAAGCAGCACCCUGAUUGAAUUGGACUGCAGGAAUUUGGCUCUGAAUUUAAUUUGGUAUUAUUGUCCA